GAUGAACGCUGGCGGCGUGCCUAAUACAUGCAAGUCGAGCGAACAGACGAGGAGCUUGCUCCUCUGACGUUAGCGGCGGACGGGUGAGUAACACGUGGAUAACCUACCUAUAAGACUGGGAUAACUUCGGGAAACCGGAGCUAAUACCGGAUAAUAUAUUGAACCGCAUGGUUCAAUAGUGAAAGACGGUUUUGCUGUCACUUAUAGAUGGAUCCGCGCCGCAUUAGCUAGUUGGUAAGGUAACGGCUUACCAAGGCGACGAUGCGUAGCCGACCUGAGAGGGUGAUCGGCCACACUGGAACUGAGACACGGUCCAGACUCCUACGGGAGGCAGCAGUAGGGAAUCUGCCGCAAUGGGCGAAAGCCUGACGGAGCAACGCCGCGUGAGUGAUGAAGGUCUUCGGAUCGUAAAACUCUGUUAUUAGGAAGAACAAAUGUGUAAGUAACUAUGCACGUCUUGACGGUACCUAAUCAGAAAGCCACGGCUAACUACGUG
This 496-nucleotide ribosomal RNA is filed under the name uncultured bacterium. Its description in RNAcentral is "partial 16S ribosomal RNA". It matches the Rfam family "Bacterial small subunit ribosomal RNA", at positions 28 to 507 of the family's 1533-position model. The record is from RNAcentral.